Molecule: RNA transcript, 1902 nt
Organism: Haliotis rubra (blacklip abalone)
Lineage: Eukaryota; Metazoa; Mollusca; Gastropoda; Lepetellida; Haliotidae
Exons: 6
Source: RefSeq, a predicted model, not a curated record
UGCAACGGUACAUAUUGGACGUGGGCAGCAACACAGUGACGAGUGAAAUAUAAGAUCGACCUUCAAUUACUGAGUCGUCAAUUGCCUAUCCUUGUUCCCGUAUUGUAGAUAUAUUCACUGAAGCCUGUGACUGCAAGGUAAAUCAUUGGCCCCCGUCCAAGGAUCCAAGCCAAUCAUCUUACCGUGUUAUUCGAUAAUAAACAGGAACAUUCAGACACAACCAGGAGACGAGUGAAGGAUGCUGCUGUCUAUUCCAGACCUGGUGUUCACCUUCAGUUGUAUAUUGGUGCGAGAUGGGCUUCAUGUCAAGGCAGCAAAUAUCAUGCUGGGUAAACCAACGCGCCUGAGUUCUACUUACUCUGCACCCUACCAAUCCGGCUAUGCCAAUGAUGGAAACAGGACCGGGGAAUCAGCGAUUAGUCCGUACCAACUACACCCAUACUGGCAGGGAGAUCUACAAGGGUUCUACACCGUACACAACAUCACGGUCACAAUUUAUUCUAUAUUACGUUGCAGAUAUGCAUACAUUGGUGUGUCGUCAGUAGACGUUGAUUGCCCGAAUGACGACGUGACCUUGUGUGGUCAGUGGCCGGCAGAUGCAGUAGGUAGAAUAACCUUGACCUUCAACUGUUCCCAUGAGCAGCCUGUGAGAUUCGUGAGGGUGUGGAAAAACAUCACAGACUACCUGAGUAUACAGGAAGUGGAGGUGGAGGGGCACUCCCAGAAGUAAAAAUGCUGCUAUGUACGACAAGAGUCUGAACCAGAAGCUGUCUACACCUGUGACCACAGUGAAUGCCAGAUCAGCCACUGACUGUGGUAUCAUGUGUCUCAAGACCCAACCUUGCCUCGGUUUCAGCUACAAUCCCUCUGGCGAUCCACCCUGUCUCUUGUCACCAUCUACAGCAAUGACAACAGCCACCAGCUGGGUUAGCUACGCCAUAUCUACUUGCUAUCUGACAGAUCAGUUCAACUAAUGGGGGGUUAUUUACGUGAGUCACAGUGCCAGUAUCUAGGAGUCUAUCACAAUACAUCAAUACAUUCUGGUAGAACUGUAGGAAAGAUCUGUAUGUCAAACCCGAAACUAGAAAAAGCGAUUCACAAAUAGACGUAAUGCCAUGUAAUUUAUGAUUUCAGAAUGCACAGACUUUACUAUCCUACAAAUUAAUCUUGUAAACGACUUUGUAUCGGAGGAAAGCAUUCAUUCAAUCAUACUCUCAGACAAAGUGCCAUAAGAAGUAAAACAGAUGCGUAAUGUUUGCGAAAAAUCAAGUCAACGUCUUCUCGUCUAAUGAUACUUCAAUUUCACAUCCUUUUUACCAAUGACAAGUGAUAUUUCUUCGUCAGAGAGGAUUUCGACCAGAAUUAGUUGUUUGUGGCUAUUAUGCAAACAUUUGGAACAAUACAGCUGAAAGUGUUACAGUAAUAUCCUACUCUUACAUUCUAUAACCCUGCAGUAUGGGACUGCACGCAUCCUUGUAAAGUAAACUAGCUGACUGAGUGAAUUUCGUGAAUUUUACAUGAUGUUUCUUCACGUCAUAAUAUCUUGUUUUGUUUCUUAUGGAUUUCAUGGUGAUAUUUUAAAACAUUGUAAUAUAUCAUGUCCUCCCUAUAACGACAACUUGGUUUUUGAGCAUACAUUUAAUUGUUGGCUAUAAGUUCUUUCAGAAACAUUGUUUUUCAUGUAUUUGACCUUUUGAUUAAUAGUAAUUGAGCCAUCCUGCCUUUCUUCAUAUAGUGCUGUAACUACAGGAGGUUCUGUAGACACGUUAUCUUGAUGUGUCUGAAGAAUCAAAACGUUUAAAUAUGUAAUCUUAAUUACGAAGAUCGGCAGAUCAUGGCACCGAUUCUGCUUUGUCUCCAUGGUGGGGAUAGAGGUGGGGAGGGGAGAGAGUGGAGGUGGAA